CCAUAUCCUCUAGUGGUUUUCUGAGAAAGGAUACAUACAAGCUUUCAGGACGUGUUGAAGUCUGAAGCCAUUCCAAUCCUGAAAUCAGGCCAGCUCCAGCAUGUUCUCACGGCAGUUGCAGGGGCGCUGGCCAGGUUGCAGGAGCCCCUCUGAGACGUCUGUUGUGUUACACUGGCCCACAUCCUCUGAGCCCAGAGCCCAAGUGUGUCAUGUGGCCUGGGGUGAGGCUGUGAGAGAGGGAGGAAUUGAGGCCUUCAGAGCGAGCCGCCUGCCCUGGGAGACACUGAAGAAAAUGCACUCGGACGCGGCGCCUUCGCCCAGAGCUCCCUGUCUUCAUCUCCUUGGCGCAUUGCGUGUCUAUCUCUACCCGGGCUCCCUUCUGGCCUGUGUCUUCAACACCUGCUCACUAAGGACGUCGGUUUGGCCUCCCGAACAUAUCUGACGUCCACCCGCUUCUCUCCCUUCCCACUGCAUCCCACCUGGUUUUAAGGGCUGUCACCGCUUCCUUAAACUGUUGCCACAGCCCCUGGCUUUUCCUCUUUCCCCUGAGGCGAAGCUCUGCCAGUCUGAUCUGUACCCCGCAGCGGACGUGCGUGUUCUGCAGUGCGGCCCUGAGCGUGGCACGCUCUGCUGGCGGCGCUGGCCUCCUGGUGGAGGCUCUGCUGGGCGCCCACCGGGCAGCUGUGCCAGGAAGUGCAGGGCCUCCUUCUCGCACCCAAGGAGAGCCCCCGUUUCUGCCGUUUCCACUGUGUUCUGACUCUGGCAGGGGGGACUUUUGGAAUUCAUCUUUCUCUUCCUCCUGCCGCCCCAGGUCUCUCUGGAGCCCAGCCGUUAGUCCUCUCAGGUUCUUGUUUUCCAUGUGGGGGUGGGGGCUGGGGGCUUCUAAGGAUAGGAAAGAACAAUGUAAUGAGAUGUUGCCUCAAAGAAAUAUUACCCCCAAGCCCAUCCACCACUGAAAACUACAGUUCGUGCUGUUGGCCCUCCCCUGAUGCUCCUGGCCCCUCCCCAGGGUGGCCGCACACUCCCUUCCUGGACCCCUUCCUUCUCCUCCAGCCUCUGUCCGCUCCACAGAUAGGGAGCCAGGACAGCAAGCUGGCCACGUGUAACCCGGCUUGGGGAGGAGCAGAGCUCGUCCACAUCUACCAUGGGGGCAGCCGCCUCCCAGGAACGGGCUGUGCAGGAACACGUGCCCUGUGCCGCCCAGCCCUCCAAGGAAAUCCGAGCGGCCUCCUGCUGCUACGGGGGCAGGCUCAAGGUCUGCCU
RNAcentral lists this long non-coding RNA (1263 nucleotides) under Equus caballus (horse). RNAcentral's name for it is "lncRNA (ENSECAG00000051332.1)". Lineage: Eukaryota; Metazoa; Chordata; Mammalia; Perissodactyla; Equidae. The record is from RNAcentral.